UUCGAAGUCGGGGCCGGCAGCUGCGGUGAGUCGUAGGUGUGUAGCGGUUGGCGGAUGAGUUGGUCGUAAAGGGGUCGUAGGCGUCGCGUUAAGUCGGGUGUGAGAUCUCGGAGCGUAACGCCGAAACGGCAUUCGAUACUGCCGUGCUUGAGGACUUGAGAGGAGACUGGAAUUUACGGUGUAGCGGUGAAAUGCGUAGAUAUCGUAAGGAAGACCAGUGGCGAAGGCGGGUCUCUGGACAGUUCCUGACGCUGAGGCACGAAGGUCAGGGGAGCAAACGGGAUUAGAUACCCGAGUAGUC
This 301-nucleotide ribosomal RNA is filed under the name uncultured bacterium. Its description in RNAcentral is "bacterial SSU rRNA". It matches the Rfam family "Bacterial small subunit ribosomal RNA", at positions 495 to 795 of the family's 1533-position model. The record is from RNAcentral.